This 3106-nucleotide long non-coding RNA is filed under the name Homo sapiens (human). RNAcentral describes it as "HSALNT0137635". The record is from RNAcentral. Lineage: Eukaryota; Metazoa; Chordata; Mammalia; Primates; Hominidae.
GCUACACAAACUGACAAUAAACAGACUAAUAGGAGAAAAAGCAUACAAAUUUAUUAACACACAAGUGUCUGCAGGAGUCCUGCAAAUAUGGGAUUCAAAGAAAGGCCACUUGGUUGUGGCUAAACUAUCUUCUUCAUAGGGGAGAAGAAAAUGAGGGGAAUAUAGGCAAUUUUGAAGGGUAGUGAACAAUUCUGAGUGAUUGAAUGAGCUUAAAGACCAUGCAAUGGCCUGGGACAAAGUUUCUCCAAGCUCUGGGAAAGACGGCAAGAAGCAGAGAAGCUCAGGCCAGAGAAGAAAUGGAAAUGCAGCACCCCUCAGCUCCACUUACAGUGAGCAGCAAGAUCAAAAGUUUAUCCUCAAGAAGUGUCAGCCACUUCUAUCUGCAAAAGUCUAAGCCUGGGUGGAGAAGAACUAUAAAUACUUCUGAAGGCCUCCCACAAAUUGCUGGAGAAUGCACAGGAAAAUCAAGAUAAAGAAACUGAGGCUCAGUGUCCACAUUCAAUAACUUGCCCAUGGCUACAGAGCUAAUUAAUCCUGAACUUGAACAAAGGAUUGUCAGACUUCACUGUUGGCUCCUAACUAAGAUGCAUUCUCAAGUCCGUGGCAAACUCUCUGAUGUUGCUUUGGGUUUUGUUUAUUUUGUUUUCUUUUUUGUUAUAUCGAACCAUCCAUUAAAACAGAACAUUUUUUUCUUCCCACUCCCUAUCAAAAAAUGGUAUACUGCCUUCAUAAGCUUGGUAGCUACUAUUUAUGUCAUGAUUGUUUCUGAUUUUUGAAUUGAAAUGUUUUGUAGAGAAAAGAUGUUACCUCCACUGCAUUUGAUUUUGUAGCUGAAUAGAGCCACUUUCAUUCAGAGCUUCAUUCAGAGCAGACAAAAAUCAACGUCUGCCUGCCUAAAACAUAAAAUACCAUGCUCCACCAGCAAAAAACAAACAAACAAACAAAAAAAAACAAAAAAAGCAUCUUGGGUUUCAUAUUAAUAGUGUGAACAGUGGAGGAUAGCAAAGCCAAAGCAAGACCAAACUACAGAAAAGAAGCAACAAAAGCAGGAACAGUGCUGAGCCUCUUGUAAUUGCUGCCUUGGGUUUCCUUUUGCCGCUCUCUUCUUUGUGGGGAAGAAGAAAGUGGUGUCUGAUUUAUAGGAUUUUUUGUCCAGCUCCCAGAUAUUCACUCUUAAAAACCUAGGGAUGUAGCUAAAAAUGGAUUCUGAAGGACUUGGAAAGGACAAGUUAUUUUCCACAUCUAAACCUCAUCCAAUUGUAUUGGUGCAAUUUUGCUUGAAAAUGCCCCCAGGACACCAGUUUCAGGCCUGCCAGGUGGCCUAAGUUCAUCCCUUCCUCCAAUAUCCCUGAGACUACCUGAGACCCAGGACAAGCACUGGAACCAUCAUUUUGCAGGGACAGAUGGCAGCGAACACUGUAAGCAGGGCACAGAGUUUCUAGGCAACCCCCAUCUCCUUUCCCAGCCCUGAGACCACGAGGCACCUUCCCUUGGGCUGACUCAGAGCCCUGAGUGUGGGCUGUGCUGGGUCCCAGUCUCUCAGCUCCCCGACCGUGGCACAAACCUGCUCUCCCGCUUCCCUUUAUUCUUAUUGGAGGAUUUUAUUUUCCUGCUUACCUUGCCAGAUGCCAAAAACAAAACAAAGCAGCACUUCUUAUUUUCUUCACACCAUUGACCCUGGAGAAAUCCCUUGCCCACAGCCACCAUCUGGGAGAGCCAUUUCUUUCUUCUAACCUGUAAACAUUUUCACAAGGCCUCCAAAGGCAAGCAUUUGGCACACCAUCGUGACUGCUUUCCUGCGAACAUUGAGAUUUCAAAUUUUAAUUGCAGCUUCUUGAUUAGGCAUCAAAAGUCCAUAUUUGAGCAUUUGAACUGGCAAUUCUAAAAUGCAAAUCUGUCCAUUUCAAGUCCUUAUUUACGAUGUCUCAAAUACUGAAUUUGUUAUUACUCAUUUUGAAAAUUUGCUUGUGCUCUGCAUAGAGAAAAUAAUUUGAUGGUUAGUACUAUUUAUCCCUGGUCUUCUUCUUUUUUUCCUUUUUAUUUUUUUGAGACAGGGUCUCGCUCUGUUACCCAGGCUGGAGUGCAGCCCCCCUCAGCCUCCGGAGUGGCUGGGACUACAGGUUUGUGCCACCAUGCCCAGCUAAUUUUUUGUGUGUAUUUUGUAGAGACCAACUUCACCAUGUUGCCCAGGGCUGGUCUCGAAUUCCUCAGGUUAUCCGCCCACCUUCUGAAAGUGUUUGGAUUACAGGUGUGAGGCACUGCACUUGACCUAUUCCUAAUCUACUACUCACCAUUUUCAGAUACCUGUAGUGCUAUGCAUGUGACUCUCCAAAAUUCAUAUAUUGAACCCCUAACCCCCAACGUGAUAGUAUUUUGAGGCAGCGCCUUUAGGAGAUGCUGGGGAUUGAAUGUUUAUAUCCCCUCCAAAAUUUAGUUAAAAUGUAAUCCCCAAUGCAACAGUACUGAGAAGUGGGGCCUUUGAGAGGUGCUAUGCCCUGAGAGCCCCACUCUCAUGGAUGGGAUCAGUGCCUUAUGGAAGGACUGAAGGGACGGGACCUAGCUAAAUGCUUUUGCCCUUCUGCCUACCACCAUGUGAAGACACAAUAUUGACCCUUUCUGCCUUGUGAGGACGUGGUGAUAAGGCGCCAUCUUGGAAGAAGAAAGCAGCUUUCUCCAUACAAACGAACCCACCGGAGCCUUGAUCUUGGACUUUCCAGCCUCCAGAACUAUGAGAAAUAAAUUUCUAUUAUUUAUGAAUUCCCCAUGCAGUGGUAUUUUGUUAUAGCAGUACAAACGGGCUGAGACAGGAGGUAGUUAGGUUCAGAUGAAGGCCUGAGGGUAGGGCCCUAAUGAUGGGAUCCAUGCCCAUACAAGAAGAGAUACAAGAGCAAUCUUGUGCUCUCCCUCUGCCAUGUGAAGACAUAACAAGAAAGCAGCCAUCUGCAAACCAGGAAGUGAGCCCUCAUUGCACCCCAAAUCUGCUGGCACCUUGAUCUUGGCAUCCUGGGCUCCAGAAUUGUGAGAAAUAAAUGUUUGUUGUUUAAGCCACUCAGCCUAUGGUAAUUUGUUGUAGCAGCCUGAGCUAAGACAUAUAGAUAGAUAAUCU